Molecule: ribosomal RNA, 479 nt
Filed under: uncultured bacterium
Lineage: Bacteria
Description: partial 16S ribosomal RNA
Rfam family: Bacterial small subunit ribosomal RNA
Source: RNAcentral
GACGAACGCUGGCGGCGUGCUUAACACAUGCAAGUCGAACGAAGCUUGAUUACGGAUUCUUCGGAUGAAGUAUGAUAUGACUGAGUGGCGGACGGGUGAGUAACGCGUGAGUAACCUGCCCUUCAGAGGGGGAUAGCGUUUGGAAACGAACGGUAAUACCGCAUAAUGUAUUUUGACCGCAUGAUCGAAAUACCAAAGAUUUAUCGCUGAAGGAUGGACUCGCGUCUGAUUAGGUAGUUGGUGGGGUAACGGCCUGCCAAGCCGACGAUCAGUAGCCGGACUGAGAGGUUGAUCGGCCACAUUGGGACUGAGACACGGCCCAGACUCCUACGGGAGGCAGCAGUGGGGAAUAUUGCACAAUGGGCGCAAGCCUGAUGCAGCAACGCCGCGUGAAGGAAGACGGUUUUCGGAUUGUAAACUUCUGUUCUUAGUGAAGAAUAAUGACGGUAGCUAAGGAGCAAGCCACGGCUAACUACGUG